CCUACGGGAGGCAGCAGUGGGGAAUUUUGGACAAUGGGCGAAAGCCUGAUCCAGCCAUGCCGCGUGCAGGAUGAAGGCCUUCGGGUUGUAAACUGCUUUUGUACGGAACGAAACGGUCUCUUCUAAUAAAGGGGGCUAAUGACGGUACCGUAAGAAUAAGCACCGGCUAACUACGUGCCAGCAGCCGCGGUAAUACGUAGGGUGCAAGCGUUAAUCGGAAUUACUGGGCGUAAAGCGUGCGCAGGCGGUUAUAUAAGACAGUUGUGAAAUCCCCGGGCUCAACCUGGGAACUGCAUCUGUGACUGUAUAGCUAGAGUACGGUAGAGGGGGAUGGAAUUCCGCGUGUAGCAGUGAAAUGCGUAGAUAUGCGGAGGAACACCGAUGGCGAAGGCAAUCCCCUGGACCUGUACUGACGCUCAUGCACGAAAGCGUGGGGAGCAAACAGGAUUAGAUACCCUGGUAGUCCACGCCCUAAACGAUGUCAACUGGUUGUUGGGUCUUCACUGACUCAGUAACGAAGCUAACGCGUGAAGUUGACCGCCUGGGGAGUACGGCCGCAAGGUUGAAACUCAAAGGAUUGACGG
RNAcentral lists this ribosomal RNA (584 nucleotides) under uncultured bacterium. RNAcentral's name for it is "bacterial SSU rRNA". It matches the Rfam family "Bacterial small subunit ribosomal RNA", at positions 338 to 916 of the family's 1533-position model. The record is from RNAcentral.